UCUGGUAUCAACCCAGAGAAGAGCA
Molecule: transfer RNA, 25 nt
Filed under: Gallus gallus (chicken)
Lineage: Eukaryota; Metazoa; Chordata; Aves; Galliformes; Phasianidae
Description: partial tRNA-Gly
Source: RNAcentral